Molecule: long non-coding RNA, 1860 nt
Organism: Cloeon dipterum
Lineage: Eukaryota; Metazoa; Arthropoda; Insecta; Ephemeroptera; Baetidae
Exons: 5
Source: RefSeq, a predicted model, not a curated record
GCAUUUGCCAUCCGAUUUCCACAAACUGAAACCAUGAAAUACGUGCUGGUCGGCCUUAUUGCUUGCAUGUUGCUUGUCGGAGCGACGGCCAAAGGCGGCGGCAAAGGCGGUAAAGGCGGCAGCAGUUCCGGACGCUGCGUCUCCUGCAAAGAAAUAUACAGACCAGUUUGCGGCAAGAACAGCAAGGGCCUAACGCGCACCUUUACCAACCAAUGCUAUUUGAAACGCGAAAACUGCCUUUUCAAAAAUGAUUUCGUCGAGCAGAAAAAGGGUAAAUGUUAACAACACAUCUUGAAGUUCCGGACGAGGAUUACUAAUUGCAAUUAUUUUGGCGUGUGAUUUAUUCAAUCAAUAUUGUAUGCAUCAAUAUUUUUGUGUUUUAUUUAGGCCACACUUUUCUCUCCGCGACCGCGCAGGUUGCCUAUCAAGCAGUUCACGGUUGUUGCUCGCCGCUCAUCGUUUUGUUUUAAGAUGAUUAAAUAGCAAUUUUUAAGGAAAUUGUAUGCCUUACAAAAAAAGUGUAAAAUAAAGUUAUUUAGGGUGCAAAAAGAGGGUUGGUGGGGUAGCACCCUUAAAUUGCUUUGGCUAUCAAAGGCAGUUUGAGACGAGUCUUUAGAUGUGCGGUUUUUGAAAAUCUGAUCAUCAGAAUCUGAGAUUCGGAGUGUAAACCAUUUUUGAAACUCUGAAACAGCACCACUUUGUGGGCAAUUCCCGGAUUGAUUUGUAUUAUAAAGCAGUACAGUAAAUGAGACUUUUCAAAGUUUUAUCCGCGUAUUCAAAAACUUAGUCAAUUCAACACAAAAUAACAGUAAUAUUAAAGAAAGAAACAUAAUUGUAUACAUUCAAAUGGAUUUGCGAAUAUAAGUGUGCAUGUUUUGUUGCAUAGCUGCCCUGAAAACGAGAAAUUCAUCAAAACUAUCCACGGAUCUCCGCUGGAAGUCUUAAGAGAUUAAACAUGAAGAUCUGGGGAUUAAUAUUAGCCGCCGUAAACACCUGAGAGGUUCCUCUCUUGAGCGUGUACCAUGGCCAUGAAUUUCCCCAACGAGCCGGAAAAAAAUGGGAAAGGCGACGCACAAAUUUGCAACACUGCAGCAAAUAAAUAGAAAAAAGUCUGGAACCGCGGCCUUGCUGACUAAGCGACGCGACUCCUUCCAUCGCUCGAAUCAACCGCUUCUGUGCCACAAACACCUCUUCCCUCUCUCUAAGACAGGAGCCCCCUCCCCCCCAAAUUAAAUUGGCACACUGGAGGUGAGAAUAAGGCUCAUUGUAUGAUUUUUAAUAACUUAAAUAAACAGUUAAGGUUACAAUAUUUUGAAUUUUUGUAAAAAUAUAAUUUCUCAAACAAUGAGAACUAAUAAAUAUUAUAAGUAAUAUUUAAAAGUGGAUUCCCCAGAUGUACCGGCCGGAAAAAUUUCCGGUUCACUCUACCGCAAAAUAACAUUGUUGUUUAUUCCCACAUUUAGUCCAAUAACAUGAUAAUAAUUAUGCGGUGACAAUUUCGGUAUAAAAGAGGACGCGCUUUCGCAUUUGCCAUCCGAUUUGCACAAACUGAAACCAUGAAAUACGUGCUGGUCGGCCUUGUUGCUUGCAUGGUGCUGGUCGGAGCGACGGCCCAAGGCUUUACCGGAAACUGCCCCAAAGUCUGCAAUGAAGUAUACAGACCAGUUUGCGGCAAGAACAGCAAGGGCGUAACGCGCAUCUUUUCCAACGAGUGCCAAAUGAGGCUCGAAAACUGCAAAUAUGAUUUCGUCAAGCUGAAAAAUAGUAAAUGUUAACAACACAUAUUGAAGUUCCGGACGAGGAUUACUAAUUGCAUUUAUUUUGGCGUGUGAUUUAUUCAAUAAAGAGAUGCAAAUUAUA